This is a long non-coding RNA of Oreochromis aureus, 2188 nucleotides long. NCBI's taxonomy places the organism in Eukaryota, Metazoa, Chordata, Actinopteri, Cichliformes, Cichlidae. The record is from Ensembl.
GGUUUUAUUAUUCUGCAAAAAGGAAAAAAUUAUUACAAAAAUUCUGAAUGACAAAAAUGAGCUAUUUUGGGAACCAAGUGGGCCCACAGAAGAGGGCAACUUAAGAACUUCUACUUAAAACCCACUUCACAAACCAUAACUCUGCAAACUGCCCUGCCUAAAUGAGAGACAGCUCCAGUUAUAUAGCAAGUGAAUGAACUAUUGUAUACACCAAAGGUGAAAACUACAGAGAUAAUAGCUAAUCAUAAUACAAGAAUGACCUUAUUCCCCCCUGCAUGGUCACAACAGAUGGUUAAGUCCAUUUUAUUGGCCUCUGCAUUUAAACCAGCUCCACCCUCAGCCUCCUCUUUUACUCAAAAAAGGAAGGACUGGAGCGGCAGCCAGGUCUCCCUGCUCGAAAGCAGGAGAAGAAAGUCAGACGACAGUGAGGAAGGGAUGGGAGCACAGGAGAGGGAGGAGGAAGACUGCGCUUCUUCAGUGGGGAGAAAGCUGCACAAAACCAGCAAGGAGGUUUAUUUCAGCGUCCUGCCAGAUAAAUAUGAACCUCUGAUUGAGGACGAUGAGGAGAGAGAGGAGACUGCAGAGGAGAAAAAGAGGAGGAAGGAGGCGAGGAAGAAGAAAAGGAAAAAUACAUGCAAGAAGUACAGGAAGAAUGUGGGGAAAGCGCUACGCUUCAGCUGGCGCUGCCUGGUAGCUGGUCUGCAGAGCAUGGCGUCCGUGUACUCCACACCUCUCUCAGCUGUGGCCACCGUGGUAACAGAUGUUCACCAAGCCAGUGGCAGCAAGACAUGAUGGGACUCGGAGGAACCAGGAGUGUAGCCCCUUAUUCCUUGUGUUCAAGCUGACUUUGAAUUCAUCACCUCUGUUGUGCCUGUUUUGUUUUUAUUCUAUUUUUAUUUCUAUUUCUGAGAUAUAUACUAUAUAUUUACUCGAUUUAUGAAAACCAUUGAUCCCUGUCACAUUUAUGGCCUCGGUUUUCAAAUUUGAACCGAACCCUGCUGUUGUGUUAAAUUAAACAAUCGUCUUUCAUGUUUGGGGUAAAACUGAACCCUAAAAUUCACCUCAAGUAGAAACCUAACCCUAACCCCAGAACACUUUGGGUUUAUUUACUGUCUUAAGAAGCUUUCUGUUCCGUGUGGGCUUUGGCAGCCACUGGCAACCCAACAACUAGCAAUGUCUGUGUACAAAUCUCAGCCACAAGGAGGCUCCACCUUGUGGCGCUUCUCCACAACUGCACUUUAGAAGCUCAUUGACAGAGAUAAAUUUUUGAGGUCCUGGAGCACUAAACGGAUAUAUUCGUCCAGUCAACCAACCAUACUUGGAUAAAGUAAAGAUGUUCUAGUAGGAAGCUGACGCACUCCUCUCCUUUCUGCUCUUUAUGUUUUUAUGAAGGUUAGGAGAGUCAGUAAAUGCUGUUAAAAUAAUCAGAAUAAAUAAAAAAAUACUAAUUUGUCUUUCAUGAUGUUUGUUUACAUAAUCAAAGGUCAGGUACUUUUUGUGCAUUUCACAAGUGCUUAUUGAAAAAUAAAUGUAAAUAUGACCAAAAAAGUGUGAGGACAUUUGUUUUUAAGCCAGCGCAUUUGUUGAUAAGUCAUCUGUAAUACGACCCAGGGGAUUGUGGAUGAUGCAGGGCAUAAAAAAGCUUCCACGGCAGCUACAGAAAAGAGAAUAGAGCUUUUCCAUCAUCAUAUAUGACAGAGUAACAUAUAUUUAUGUAUUUCCCUCUAUGGGCCCAUCACACAGCUGAAAGGUAUUUUUCAGGUUACUGUGCGUGUUCAUGUACAUGUAACCACACUAGUCCUGCUGAUUGCUCGGUUGUGUGCUGGAUUAUGUACUCUCCAUGCCGGGUAACAUUUCUUCUGUGGGUGUACUUAGGGGCAUGUACGCUCAUUGCAUAUAUUGUAAAUUGUAUAUUGUACCAUUUAUAUUGUGGCUGAAGGUUGGUCAUUAGUGGACAAUCUUGGCUUUGGUUUCUUAGGAAACCAUCUAAUAUGUCAUAUUUCACUGAGCAGUAUCCUUCACUUUUAUUGGCUUUCGCUUCAAUCUGUAGAAGUCUGCGUAGGUUCCUCAGUCAUCCAUUUUAGUUUAGUGCUUGAAUUUAAGAAAACUGGACUUCCACUUUUAGGCUCUUGAAUAUGUUUCACCUUUUAUCAAAAAUGUCUUUUUUUUUCUCCACGCAUUGCUGCUU